AUUGAACGCUGGCGGCAUGCUUUACACAUGCAGGUCGAACGGUAACAGGCCGCAAGGUGCUGACGAGUGGCGAACGGGUGAGUAAUGCAUCGGAACGUGCCCAGUCGUGGGGGAUAACUACUCGAAAGAGUAGCUAAUACCGCAUACGAUCUAUGGAUGAAAGCGGGGGACCGUAAGGCCUCGCGCGAUUGGAUCGGCCGAUGUCAGAUUAGGUAGUUGGUGGGGUAAAGGCUCACCAAGCCAACGAUCUGUAGCUGGUCUGAGAGGACGACCAGCCACACUGGGACUGAGACACGGCCCAGACUCCUACGGGAGGCAGCAGUGGGGAAUUUUGGACAAUGGGCGCAAGCCUGAUCCAGCAAUGCCGCGUGCAGGAAGAAGGCCUUCGGGUUGUAAACUGCUUUUGUACGGAACGAAACGGCUCUGGUUAAUACCCGGGGCUAAUGACGGUACCGGAAGAAUAAGCACCGGCUAACUACGUG
Molecule: ribosomal RNA, 482 nt
Filed under: uncultured bacterium
Lineage: Bacteria
Description: partial 16S ribosomal RNA
Rfam family: Bacterial small subunit ribosomal RNA
Source: RNAcentral